This 431-nucleotide ribosomal RNA is filed under the name Arthrobacter sp. SCMS11. RNAcentral's name for it is "bacterial SSU rRNA". It matches the Rfam family "Bacterial small subunit ribosomal RNA", at positions 960 to 1390 of the family's 1533-position model. The record is from RNAcentral. Lineage: Bacteria; Bacillati; Actinomycetota; Actinomycetes; Micrococcales; Micrococcaceae.
CGCGAAGAACCUUACCAAGGCUUGACAUGAACCGGAAAGAUCYGGAAACAGGUCCCCCACUUGUGGUCGGUUUACAGGUGGUGCAUGGUUGUCGUCAGCUCGUGUCGUGAGAUGUUGGGUUAAGUCCCGCAACGAGCGCAACCCUCGUUCUAUGUUGCCAGCACGUGAUGGUGGGGACUCAUAGGAGACUGCCGGGGUCAACUCGGAGGAAGGUGGGGACGACGUCAAAUCAUCAUGCCCCUUAUGUCUUGGGCUUCACGCAUGCUACAAUGGCCGGUACAAAGGGUUGCGAUACUGUGAGGUGGAGCUAAUCCCAAAAAGCCGGUCUCAGUUCGGAUUGGGGUCUGCAACUCGACCCCAUGAAGUCGGAGUCGCUAGUAAUCGCAGAUCAGCAACGCUGCGGUGAAUACGUUCCCGGGCCUUGUACACAC